GUAUGAUAAAUCCUUUAAUUUGCUUUGUCUCCAAGUGUGACUUCCAGAGAUGUGUUUAAAUGAUCCUUAAAGAGCCCAAAAUGGGGACAUAUGAAUAUUAUUCAGCCAUGAAAAGAAUAAAAUUCUGUCAUUUGUAACACCAUGGAUGGAACUUGAGAACAUUAUGUGACCUCAAAACCAGCCAGCCACAGAAAGAAAAAUCUUGCUUGUGGGAGCUAAAUAUUAAAAGUUAUCAGUCUUGUGAGGACAGAGAGUAGAAGGAUGGUUACCAGAGGCUGAAAAGGAUCUGAAAGACCGCCCCGGAGAUCUCAGGGCGGAAGCACCUGCAGAGAGAGCGACCCUGGUGCCGCUGCGGCCAGAGCGGAGAGGAUGGGCAGACCACACCAGGAGCCGGGAAGCUCCUCUGGAACCCAGAGGCUUGAAGGAGACGCCCGUUCCAGGCUUGGAGCUGCCUCUGGCAGGGGCUCAGCGGAGAGUCGCCCCGGGAGUCGGAGCCAGUGAGGAGGUGGGAUGGAGGAGGCGGUAAGGGGUGAGGGGGUAGGAAGGAUAAAGCGGGGAAGAAGGGGGUGUGAAGGAGGAGAGGGAAGACACAGCGCGAGAUGGAGAAGGGGGGCGGAGGGGAGGAAGAAGCCAGAGAUGGAGGAGGGGG
Molecule: long non-coding RNA, 649 nt
Organism: Nycticebus coucang (slow loris)
Lineage: Eukaryota; Metazoa; Chordata; Mammalia; Primates; Lorisidae
Exons: 3
Source: RefSeq, a predicted model, not a curated record